This 183-nucleotide small nuclear RNA is filed under the name Phaseolus vulgaris (common bean). RNAcentral's name for it is "snRNA U2". It matches the Rfam family "U2 spliceosomal RNA". From Rfam's summary of the family: U2 is a small nuclear RNA (snRNA) component of the spliceosome (involved in pre-mRNA splicing). Lineage: Eukaryota; Viridiplantae; Streptophyta; Magnoliopsida; Fabales; Fabaceae. The record is from Rfam by way of RNAcentral.
AAAUCAUAAUUACCUUUUGGCUAAGAUCAAAUGUAGUAUUUGUUCUUAUCUCAUAUGUGCGUCAUUGGCUCAAACGUUAUUAAAUUAAUCUUGUCAAGGGGAGAAUCUACAACCGUAGCUUGCUAUUGGAAUCUCAGGUGUCGCUCAUGUCUUGUACUAUUACAUGAGCCUCGCACAAAAAAA